RNAcentral lists this long non-coding RNA (1577 nucleotides) under Linum usitatissimum (flax). RNAcentral describes it as "long non-coding RNA (LUSI_LNC007461)". The record is from RNAcentral. Lineage: Eukaryota; Viridiplantae; Streptophyta; Magnoliopsida; Malpighiales; Linaceae.
AAAAUCUGAACUGUUCUCCAUAAUUUGAAACCACUAGAAUAAAUUGUAAUGUCUAGGACAAACUGGUGAAUAAUUUCAAACUUGAAUAUUUCCUACAAGUCCAUCAUCUCUCAUCUAAUGCACACGUUACACGAACAACAGUUCCCCUGCUUAGUACCCCGCAUAUUUGCCUUCUUUAAAACCUUCUCAUAUUCAGUGUUGAUUUCCCAAAGAAUCGACUCCAUACAGAUUGUUCCUCGUGUAUGCCAUACACUCAUCGUUUCUCGCAGUAUGCAACUCUUUCAACAUCAUCUCCAGUUAUUGUAAGAGCGUCGUCCUUGAUGAAAUAAAACGAAUUGUUUCAAGCAUCAUAAGCUUCCAAGGCCUAUCAGAUGAAUCUCUAGUCUAUAAAAUCUUGUCAAGACAGCCUANNNAAACACAGCCUAUUCUUAGAACCUGCAUUACUAUUUAACCAAUUUAAUUGAGUUCGAAUUAGAGGUUGCAUAUAUUCUUAUUUACACUAUCCAGUUUUGAAAUCUUCAAACACCAACUGUUGAAAUCUACCAUGGUUAUAGAAUACACACAAAGUUCCUAUCUACAAGUUUCAGUUAAAUCUCUAAUUCCUAACAACCAACUUGUACCACGAAAACAAAAGCAAGAACAUCAUGUACGAACAUAAUAAAUGAAAUUAUCUACAUUACAAACCACAAUACAGCUAGUUUCGGCCACAGUACAAAAAUAACGAAAGCUAGAGUAAUGUUCAUACAUCAGUACCAACAUGAUCAAAUAACUACAAUAAAGCCCUUAUGUAUGUACUUAUGUAACAAGGUGUUACAAAACAAGUAAAACAGUUGAGGAACAACCAGCAUUUACACUAAUUUCUGACAAUCAACUGGUAUCAUGCAAAGAAAUGUUGGAAUAUCAUGUAUGAACAUUAAAAAUGAAAUUAACUAGAUUACAGACCACAUGUUCCUCAAUGCAUGACUUGGAACAGCUAGUUACGAUCACAAUCAAUAAACCAAAAACAAUGAAAGAGAGACCAAUAUACAUAUAUCAGUGCCAACGUGAUCAAAUAGCCAUGGUAGAUUAUGAUCGGGAUGAAACGGAAGUCAGCGGCGGAAAAAAAAUUGGUAAUCGGUGGAAUCUGAUCAGGAUUAAUAUCAUAUUCUUACUAACCUAUUACUCUGGUAUAGUCGUCGUCCCGAAAGCUACAGUCAGUCAGUAAGAAUCUCAGGUACCUGACAACCCGAUUUUACUGGAGAAGAAGAACACGAUGAUGGUUUAAAAUCGGGAUUCAAAAGCAGAAAAAAGAAUCAAACCAAUUCGUCGGUGACUUACCUUUCGGUUACUCCUACAGAAAAAGGUGGGGCCGACAGCAAUCGUCAACGAAAUACACUCAGUUUCUCUGGCCGCAGAGAUUUUGCAAAUGACUCGGCUCUUAUUCCUACGAAAGAUUAGAUUGCGGCCGACAGCAGGAAACAAAUGAGAAGAAUGAAUUGCUUUGAUGGCGCCGGCGAUUUGUGCAUGACAAGAGGUUUCAACGAGUAUUUUUUUGUUCAUGUGAGUGAAAAAGGAAGUGGGUGGUUUUGAGGAUAUUC